RNAcentral lists this ribosomal RNA (195 nucleotides) under uncultured bacterium. RNAcentral describes it as "partial 16S ribosomal RNA". It matches the Rfam family "Bacterial small subunit ribosomal RNA", at positions 1305 to 1500 of the family's 1533-position model. The record is from RNAcentral.
CUGCAACUCGCCUCGCAUGAAGUCGGAAUUGCUAGUAAUCGCGGAUCAGCAUGCCGCGGUGAACACGUUCUCGGGCCUUGUACACACCGCCCGUCACACCAUGGGAGUCGGUAACACCCGAAGUCUGUAGCCUGACGCAAGAGGGCGCAGCCGAAGGUGGGAUUGAUGACUGGGGUGAAGUCGUAACAAGGUAGC